Molecule: non-coding RNA, 85 nt
Filed under: Pelomonas sp. Root1444
Lineage: Bacteria; Pseudomonadati; Pseudomonadota; Betaproteobacteria; Burkholderiales; Sphaerotilaceae
Also listed under: 1 other name
Description: Glycine riboswitch aptamer
Rfam family: Glycine riboswitch aptamer
About the family: This family represents the bacterial glycine riboswitch. Glycine riboswitches usually consist of two metabolite-binding aptamers domains with similar structures in tandem.
Source: Rfam by way of RNAcentral
UGCCGCCGGUCAGGAGAGCGCCCCGGUGAAGGUGGGGGCCGCCGAAGGCGCAACAACGCUCAGGCAGAAGGACUGACAAGACGCG